UAGAGUUUGAUCCGGCUCAGGACGAACGCUGGCGGCGUGCUUAACACAUGCAAGUCGAGCGGAAAGGCCCUUCGGGGUACUCGAGCGGCGAACGGGUGAGUAACACGUGAGUAACCUGCCCUGGGCUUUGGGAUAACCCUCGGAAACGGGGGCUAAUACCGGAUAUCCACUUGUGAUCGCAUGGUUGUGGGUGGAAAGUUUUUCGGCCUGGGAUGGGCUCGCGGCCUAUCAGCUUGUUGGUGGGGUGAUGGCCUACCAAGGCGACGACGGGUAGCCGGCCUGAGAGGGCGACCGGCCACACUGGGACUGAGACACGGCCCAGACUCCUACGGGAGGCAGCAGUGGGGAAUAUUGCACAAUGGGCGGAAGCCUGAUGCAGCGACGCCGCGUGAGGGAUGACGGCCUUCGGGUUGUAAACCUUUUUCAGCAGGGACGAAGCGUAAGUGACGGUACCUGCAGAAGAAGCGCCGGCCAACUACGUGCCAGCAGCCGCGGUAAGACGUAGGGCGCGAGCGUUGUCCGGAUUUAUUGGGCGUAAAGAGCUCGUAGGCGGCUUGUCGCGUCGGCUGUGAAAUCCCGUGGCUCAACUGCGGGCUUGCAGCCGAUACGGGCAGGCUAGAGUUCGGUAGGGGAGACUGGAAUUCCUGGUGUAGCGGUGAAAUGCGCAGAUAUCAGGAGGAACACCGGUGGCGAAGGCGGGUCUCUGGGCCGAUACUGACGCUGAGGAGCGAAAGCGUGGGGAGCGAACAGGAUUAGAUACCCUGGUAGUCCACGCUGUAAACGUUGGGCGCUAGGUGUGGGGGGCCUCUCCGGUUCUCUGUGCCGCAGCUAACGCAUUAAGCGCCCCGCCUGGGGAGUACGGCCGCAAGGCUAAAACUCAAAGGAAUUGACGGG
This 894-nucleotide ribosomal RNA is filed under the name uncultured bacterium. Its description in RNAcentral is "bacterial SSU rRNA". It matches the Rfam family "Bacterial small subunit ribosomal RNA", at positions 1 to 917 of the family's 1533-position model. The record is from RNAcentral.